RNAcentral lists this ribosomal RNA (253 nucleotides) under uncultured bacterium. RNAcentral describes it as "partial 16S ribosomal RNA". It matches the Rfam family "Bacterial small subunit ribosomal RNA", at positions 524 to 776 of the family's 1533-position model. The record is from RNAcentral.
UACAGAGGUCUCAAGCGUUGUUCGGAUUCAUUGGGCGUAAAGGGUGCGUAGGCGGCGCGGUAAGUCGGGUGUGAAAUCUUGGAGCUUAACUCCGAAACUGCAUUCGAUACUGCCGUGCUUGAGGACUGGAGAGGAGAUUGGAAUUCACGGUGUAGCAGUGAAAUGCGUAGAUAUCGUAAGGAAGACCAGUGGCGAAGGCGGGUCUCUGGACAGUUCCUGACGCUGAGGCACGAAGGCCAGGGGAGCAAACGGG